Molecule: long non-coding RNA, 429 nt
Organism: Gigantopelta aegis
Lineage: Eukaryota; Metazoa; Mollusca; Gastropoda; Neomphalida; Peltospiridae
Exons: 4
Source: RefSeq, a predicted model, not a curated record
GCAGGAGGUAACAACGUAGGCGUUGUCGCUGGUGGGGCAGCAGCUGCUGUAGCUUUGGUUGUUGUGAUUGUAGUCGUAGUCGUCUUCUGGAAAAGACGACAAAGGAAUGUAAACACAGAUAAAGAAGACUUCAGUGAUUUAAAAUGCACAUCGCCUCCUCCAGAUGAAGGUAUAGAUAAUGACGAUGAGUGUGACAUCGAUGCAGAAUUACAGAAACGGUGCUACAAUCCCAAGACGGAAGACGAUAACGUGUAUGCAAAUGUAGGACAAACCCAGAUCGAAGUGGCUAACUUGCAUUCAUUUAUCCAGGGCAAAACAGAAGGUGAAUUUCAGGAAGAGUAUGAGUUGCUGCCAUCUGGUUUACAAGCCAGUCACAAUGUUGGAAAGAAACCCUGCAACAAAAUUAAGAACCGAUUUGUGGCCAUAUUC